UUCAAUGCGAUGAAAAGAAAAAGUACAUGAUGGAAGGUUGCAAAGAGAGGAACUGGAUGGUGUAAAGUUUCGGACCGAUUCAUGGAAUACACCUUGGAGCUUCGAAAUGACGUAUACCUGCGUUAAAGGUUUGAGUGCCUGUGCGAACAGGAAAAAAGGUGGUACCGCGUUUUAACGUCCUUUUA
This 185-nucleotide non-coding RNA is filed under the name Bacillota bacterium. RNAcentral's name for it is "Firmicutes bacterium T-box sequence". It matches the Rfam family "T-box leader". From Rfam's summary of the family: Uncharged tRNA acts as the effector for transcription antitermination of genes in the T-box leader family. T-boxes are found upstream of many aminoacyl-tRNA synthetase genes and some amino acid biosynthetic genes usually in Gram-positive bacteria. Lineage: Bacteria; Bacillati; Bacillota. The record is from RNAcentral.